UCAAGCAACGUAUCGCAAAAUUUACUCACUUACCGCUCUCAGUAUUUAAUGUUCGCUUGUCUUGUUGUUCGUAGUGGUUGUAAAAUCUUGUAUUUCGUGCGUCAAGAGAUAUUAUUUGUCAUAAAAUUGACCAAUCAAAUUAGUGUUAAAGAAGAAUGGAUCGCUGGCUUAAAGGUGUUGCAAAAAAUGUGGUUCGCUUGGAUGAUGCGUCAAAUUCAAAUCAAGGUGAUAUGAUGGCGUCAAGUUCUAGUUUUAUGGUUUCAGGUUCAAGUAGUAAAACAUCUAAUGACACACUGAAGGUGAAAAAACAAAAGUAUGACGAAUCAUACAUUAAUCUCGGAUUUAUUGAUUCCAACGGCUCACCUCUUUGUAUGUUGUGCAGUAAACUCCUUCCUAAUAGUUCGAUGGUACCUGCUAAGAUGCGCGGACAUUUAAAAACUCUACAUCCCGGCUUCAAAAACAAAAGUAAAGAAUUUUUUCUACGUAAAAAAGAACAAUUAUUAAGAAGCCAAAAAACUAUGACGUAUGCGACUCAGACUGUGAAUGAAAAGGCCACGGAGGCGUCGUAUUUGGUUAGUUACCGCAUUGCCCAAGCAGCAAGGAAGCGCACACUAUCGCUGAAAAGCUAAUAAAAUCAUGUGUGGUAGACAUAACAAAAUGUAUGCUCGACGAAAAAUCUGUAAAGCAUCUUUCUACAGUGCCGCUUUCGAACGAUACAGUUACGCGCCGAAUUGGGGAUAUCGCAUAACAUAAAACAAGAACUGGUUUCACGGCUUCAAAAUAACAAAUUCGUCUUGCAAAUGGAUGAGUCGACUGAUGUUGCUGGACUGGCCAUCUUGCUAGUAAUUGUGUGAUAUCCAUAUAAACAUUCACUCGAAGAAGACUUGCUUAUGUGCUCAUCGCUGCGUACUAACACAACCGGAGAAGAAAUUUUUGACACGAUUAACAUAUUUUUUAAAGAAAACCAAGUCGAUUGGAAUGAUUGCAUUGAAAUUUGUACCGAUGGCAAUUAAUGAAUUAAAAAAAAUGAUUUUCAAUUUCUAGUAAACUGUUCAGUGAUUUCUUUCCUCUAUAAUUUCUUUUUUAGCUGCUGCAGUGUCUGUUUACGAUAAUUAUGGCAACACUAAGCCAACAAAAUGCAAUCUGCGAAGUCUGCGAGAAGGAGUUUCAGAAAGGAAGUUUCACCCAGAAUUUUUUGGCCAGGCAUACAAGGAACACAUUAUAUGUCCAAUGUAUACCAACGAUACCUAGACAUUUUCUUAUUUUAAUAGUUUAAACAAACAUUUUUGUUUAAUAUCCACAAAAUAAAGAUAAAACAAUCAUUUUUAAAUUUUAGGAAUUUUGAAGAAUAUAUCUCUUAUAGAGAACAAAGUAAUAGGGAAGUCGAUUAUGCUUGUCAGAUCCAAAAUAAAUUUGAGAAUGGAGGAUAACAUAUAUUUUACAAUUGUAACAGGAGAAACAUCAGAGGAUUUAAUAGCUUAUGUAAAAUGAGAAACAUUAAGUCUGGGGGAAGCAUAUGCAUCCAGGGACAUGCCUCUCAAGAAUUUUAGUUAAGGUUUUAAAGAAUGGAUCAGUUGUGACCAGAAGUGCUAGUUUAUAAUAUUAUAUAACCAUAUUUAUAAUAUGAUUAUAACCAAGCUGGAUGGAUUUAGUUUAUUCUCUACCAUUUUAGUUUUAAGUUGUUG
This 1685-nucleotide long non-coding RNA is filed under the name Anthonomus grandis grandis. Its description in RNAcentral is "uncharacterized LOC126745864". The record is from RNAcentral. Lineage: Eukaryota; Metazoa; Arthropoda; Insecta; Coleoptera; Curculionidae.